GACGUAGGGCGCGAGCGUUGUCCGGAUUUAUUGGGCGUAAAGAGCUCGUAGGCGGCUUGUCGCGUCGACUGUGAAAACCCGCGGCUCAACUGCGGGCCUGCAGCCGAUACGGGCAGGCUAGAGUUCGGUAGGGGAGACUGGAAUUCCUGGUGUAGCGGUGAAAUGCGCAGAUAUCGAGAGGAACACCUGCGGCGAAGGCGGGUUGCUGGGCCGACACUGACGCUGAUGCGCGAAAGCCAGGGGAGCGAACGGG
RNAcentral lists this ribosomal RNA (253 nucleotides) under uncultured bacterium. RNAcentral describes it as "partial 16S ribosomal RNA". It matches the Rfam family "Bacterial small subunit ribosomal RNA", at positions 524 to 776 of the family's 1533-position model. The record is from RNAcentral.